UACGAUGGGGGCGAGCGUUGUUCGGAAUUAUUGGGCGUAAAGGGUGCGUAGGCGGUUUGGUAAGUCUCUUGUGAAAUCUAUGGGCUCAACUCAUAGUCUGCAAGGGAAACUGCCGGGCUUGAGUGUGGGAGAGGUGAGUGGAAUUUCCGGUGUAGCGGUGAAAUGCGUAGAUAUCGGAAGGAACACCUGUGGCGAAAGCGGCUCACUGGACCACAACUGACGCUGAUGCACGAAAGCUAGGGGAGCAAACAGG
This 253-nucleotide ribosomal RNA is filed under the name uncultured bacterium. RNAcentral's name for it is "partial 16S ribosomal RNA". It matches the Rfam family "Bacterial small subunit ribosomal RNA", at positions 524 to 776 of the family's 1533-position model. The record is from RNAcentral.